Molecule: ribosomal RNA, 460 nt
Filed under: uncultured bacterium
Lineage: Bacteria
Description: partial 16S ribosomal RNA
Rfam family: Bacterial small subunit ribosomal RNA
Source: RNAcentral
CCUACGGGAGGCAGCAGUGAGGAAUAUUGGUCAAUGGGCGCUAGCCUGAACCAGCCAAGUAGCGUGAAGGAUGACUGCUCUAUGGGUUGUAAACUUCUUUUAUAUGGGAAUAAAGUGCAGUAUGUACACAGCUUUGCAUGUACCUUAUGAAUAAGGAUAGGCUAACUACGUGCCAGCAGCCGCGGUAAUACGGCGGAUCCGAGCGUUAUCCGGAUGUAUUGGGUGUAAAGGGAGCGUAGGCGGGUUGUUAAGUCAGAUGUGAAAGUUUGCGGCUCAACCGUAAGAUUGCAGUUGAUACUGGCAUCCUUGAGUACAGGAGAGGUAGGCGGAAUUCGUGGUGUAGCGGUGAAAUGCUUAGAUAUCACGAAGAACUCCGGUUGCGAAGGCAGCCUGCUGGACUGUAACUGACGCUGAUGCUCGAAAGUGUGGGUAUCAAACAGGAUUAGAUACCCUUGUAGUC